GACAGAGGGUGCGAACGUUGCUCGGAAUCAUUGGGCGUAAAGCGCGCGUAGGUGGCUUCGUAAGUCCGUUGUGAAAGUCAAAGGCUCAACCUUUGAAAGCCGAUGGAUACUGCGGAGCUAGAGUACGGAAGAGGCGAGUGGAAUUCCUGGUAUAGCGGUGGAAUGCGCAGAUAUCAGGAGGAACACCAAUAGCGAAGGCAGCUCGCUGGGACGUUACUGACACUGAGGCGCGAAAGCGUGGGGAGCGAACAGG
RNAcentral lists this ribosomal RNA (253 nucleotides) under uncultured bacterium. RNAcentral's name for it is "partial 16S ribosomal RNA". It matches the Rfam family "Bacterial small subunit ribosomal RNA", at positions 524 to 776 of the family's 1533-position model. The record is from RNAcentral.